AACGCGAAGAACCUUACCUACCCUUGACAUACUAGAAAUCCUACAGAAAUGUGGGAGUGCCGAAAGGAAUCUAGAUACAGGUGCUGCAUGGCUGUCGUCAGCUCGUGUCGUGAGAUGUUGGGUUAAGUCCCGUAACGAGCGCAACCCCUGUCCUUAGUUGCCAGCGCGUAAUGGCGGGAACUCUAGGGAGACCGCCGGUGAUAAACCGGAGGAAGGUGGGGAUGAUGUCAAGUCAUCAUGGCCUUUAUGGGUAGGGCUACACACGUGCUACAAUGGUCGGUACAAAGGGUUGCCAAACUGUGAAGUGGAGCCAAUCUCAAAAAGCCGAUCGUAGUCCAGAUCGGAGUCUGCAACUCGACUCCGUGAAGUUGGAAUCGCUAGUAAUCGCAAAUCAGAAUGUUGCGGUGAAUACGUUCCCGGGCCUUGUACACACCGACAUA
RNAcentral lists this ribosomal RNA (440 nucleotides) under uncultured bacterium. Its description in RNAcentral is "bacterial SSU rRNA". It matches the Rfam family "Bacterial small subunit ribosomal RNA", at positions 958 to 1397 of the family's 1533-position model. The record is from RNAcentral.